RNAcentral lists this ribosomal RNA (450 nucleotides) under uncultured bacterium. RNAcentral describes it as "partial 16S ribosomal RNA". It matches the Rfam family "Bacterial small subunit ribosomal RNA", at positions 354 to 796 of the family's 1533-position model. The record is from RNAcentral.
GUGGGGAAUUUUGGACAAUGGGCGCAAGCCUGAUCCAGCAAUGCCGCGUGCAGGAAGAAGGCCUUCGGGUUGUAAACUGCUUUUGUACGGAACGAAACGGUCCGGGUUAAUACCCUGGGCUAAUGACGGUACCGUAAGAAUAAGCACCGGCUAACUACGUGCCAGCAGCCGCGGUAAUACGUAGGGUGCAAGCGUUAAUCGGAAUUACUGGGCGUAAAGCGUGCGCAGGCGGUUUUGUAAGACAGGCGUGAAAUCCCCGGGCUCAACCUGGGAAUUGCGCUUGGGACUGCAAGGCUGGAGUGCGGCAGAGGGGGAUGGAAUUCCGCGUGUAGCAGUGAAAUGCGUAGAUAUGCGGAGGAACACCGAUGGCGAAGGCAAUCCCCUGGGCCUGCACUGACGCUCAUGCACGAAAGCGUGGGGAGCAAACAGGAUUAGAUACCCUAGUAGUCC